Molecule: ribosomal RNA, 301 nt
Filed under: uncultured bacterium
Lineage: Bacteria
Description: partial 16S ribosomal RNA
Rfam family: Bacterial small subunit ribosomal RNA
Source: RNAcentral
CAGCAGCCGCGGGAAUACGAAGGGUGCAAGCGUUAAUCGGAAUUACUGGGCGUAAAGCGUGCGUAGGCGGUUUGUUAAGUCUGCUGUGAAAUCCCCGGGCUCAACCUGGGAAUGGCAGUGGAUACUGGCAAGCUAGAGUGUGUCAGAGGAUGGUGGAAUUCCCGGUGUAGCGGUGAAAUGCGUAGAGGUCGGGAGGAACAUCAGUGGCGAAGGCGGCCAUCUGGGACAACACUGACGCUGAGGCACGAAAGCGUGGGAGCAAACAGGAUUAGAUACCCCCGUAGUCCCUGUCUCUUAUACA